GAUGAAGAACGUAGCGAAAUGCGAUACUUGGUGUGAAUUGCAGAAUCCCGUGAACCAUCGAGUCUUUGAACGCAAGUUGCGCCCGAAGCCAUUAGGCCGAGGGCACGCCUGCCUGGGUGUCACACAUCGUUACCCUCGCGCCAACGUCCAGUGUUGGGCACGGCGCAGGGCGUAUGCUGACCUCCCGCGAGCGGGGUCUCGUGGUUGGUUGAAAAUCGAGUUCGCGGUCGAGUGUGCCGUGAUGAAAUGGUGGAUGGGCGACGCCAGAGGCCAAUCCAAUCACGCGCGACUCUGUCCGACUUGGACUCCUGGACCCCUUGGGCGUCUCCGGACGCUCCCCAGCGAGACCUCAGGUCAGGCGGGGCUACCCGCUGAGUUUAAGCAUAUCAAUAAGCGGAGGA
Molecule: unclassified non-coding RNA, 401 nt
Filed under: soil metagenome
Description: partial contains 5.8S ribosomal RNA, internal transcribed spacer 2, and large subunit ribosomal RNA
Rfam family: 5.8S ribosomal RNA (bases 1-122)
Source: RNAcentral